GCGGGGGAUAACUAUUGGAAACGAUAGCUAAUACCGCAUAACAGCAGUUGUUGCAUGACAACUGUUUAAAAGGUGCAAUUGCAUCACUACCAGAUGGACCUGCGUUGUAUUAGCUAGUUGGUGGGGUAACGGCUCACCAAGGCGACGAUACAUAGCCGACCUGAGAGGGUGAUCGGCCACACUGGGACUGAGACACGGCCCAG
Molecule: ribosomal RNA, 203 nt
Filed under: uncultured Streptococcaceae bacterium
Lineage: Bacteria; Bacillati; Bacillota; Bacilli; Lactobacillales; Streptococcaceae
Description: partial 16S ribosomal RNA
Rfam family: Bacterial small subunit ribosomal RNA
Source: RNAcentral